Long non-coding RNA from Helianthus annuus (common sunflower), 2796 nucleotides. RefSeq lists it as uncharacterized. The transcript has 2 exons. Lineage: Eukaryota; Viridiplantae; Streptophyta; Magnoliopsida; Asterales; Asteraceae. The record is from RefSeq and is a predicted model, not a curated record.
CAAGCGUGUAGGAAGAAACGGGAGGUUAAACGGGUAAACGGUUCAAAAGACACGCGCGUUUUAGUGCGUUCGGACGACGAAACGGAUCUGCAGUAAAGGGACUUUUCUAGAGGCCGUCGCCGACGGGUUCCCACCCCGUCGCCGACGGGCUCCCAAAAGUGUGAAAGAGGCCGACGGCCUAACCGACUGGUUACGGGUUAAAUUGGACGACGGGCAUUUUAAGAGGCCGUCGCCGACGGGUGCCCACCCCGUCGCCGACGGGCUGUCUAGCCCACUUCUCCGUUUUGCUUAAUUUUGCAUUUCCAAAUGAUCCGUAACGCAUUCCGAUGAUUCGUAAAGUUUCUUAUGAGCAUAUAGGGAUGUACAUAAGUAGAUAAGCGUGUAAGUAUGUUUAUAUGUAACCGUAUAUGUACGUAGAACUUAUGCAAGUAGGUAUGCGCGAAAGUAUGUAAGUUUAUAGUGUGGGAACAAGUACUAGUUAUGUAUGUAUAAAUGUGUAUGUAUAGAUAUCGGUUUAUGUAGGUACGCAAGUAUUUAUAUAAGAGCACAAGCAUCAUGCGAAUGAAUAUGAAAAUGUGUACGUAUGUAUGCAUGAUGAUAUGUAUGAGCGUAUGCAUGUAUGCGAAAAAUAUAGGAAAUGUGUGUACGUAUGUAGAUGUAUAAAUAUAUGAGUAUGUAAGUACAUAUAUGAUGUAUGAGUAGAAUGAAAUAAAUCGAUUUAUUUCGAUUAGUAAAUGUAUGAAUGUAAUAUGCUUAAAUAGGAAAUUAGAAACAAGCCGUAGACUUAAGUUUGUAUGAAUAAUAAUUGUAUACAAUUGGAAUAGAUUCAAUGAAUGAAAUGCAAGGGAUGAUAUGUGCUAGAAACUAGCAAUAUGAAAUGAAGGACACUAAUAAGAGCUCUGGAGCAGAAUCUAACAUAAGUAUAGUUAUGAAAGUAACUUACUUAUUAUAAGGGCAUAGGAACGAUGUGUACGAUUACGUACAUACAUGAAUUAAACAUUUGCCAAGAUCCCAAAUGUGUUUAGGUUGUAGUAAGUAUAGUGGAUGAACAACUUGAAAGAGGUAAGAGUAGAAUGGUCUAGUUUGAAUGAGAAAGGUUUCGGGGACGAAACCUCUUUUAAGGGGGGUAGACUUGUAACGCCCCAAAAUUAUGCAAAUUAAUUAUGUUACUUAAGAUGUCUAGUCAUGUAUUAUUUUACCUAGUUAAGUAUGUAUAUGUUAGUAACUUGAUUAGAAGGAAGGUUAUAUGACAAAUAAAAUAUCUAAGUAAAUAGGAGGACUAAACUUGUUAAAAGGUUGAAAGUUUAAUAAAUAAAAGAAAAAAAAAAUAAAAACACACACCCUGGUGUGAUGGCGUGGAUCGAUCAGAGCAAAGGGGGGAGAAGACAAACCCUAACUUCAUGAAAUUCUCAAGAAUUGAAAGAGAUUAGGAGCCCAAACUAAUGCAUGAACUCGAAACCUCAAUCAUCUAAGCUUGUACAACAAGCGGAACGUGUCAAGGAGAGGUCAAGCAUAGGAGGAUAACGGGUCAAGAUAAGGCAAGAUGACAAAUACACUUAUUGGAGUACUCGAGGUAAGUGAAUUUCGAUUCACUUUUUAGUAGGUUUAAUAGAUUUUAAUACUUAUGUUUACGAAACAUCAUGAAAGAACAUGUAAUAAUCAGAAGUACAAAGCCAAUAAUGCCUCAUUAUUGAAGAAGGUUGUAUUUAAGCCGAAAGUAAAUUGGUGGGUUUAAACGGGUCGAAUUUUAUGUGCAUAUGUUGCGUAAUGAAAUGAAAUUCGUUAUGGUUAAGACCUUGGGUAAGAAUUUUAGUCAUUAUGUAAGGGGAACAUUUCCCGGACCAUUAGGUACAAGUUUUAUAUGAUUCGGUUGUCGGUCAAUGAAUGAACGGAUUGUUUCGUUUUAGUGUAGGAAAUUUUAUAAGUAUAUGUGUAUAGGAAUCCAAAGGCCACGUGGGUUGAAUCGUAGAUUGUCUAUACUAUGUAAAGUUUUGAAUGUGACAUUCCGACAUAAACCUACAUGUAAAAGAAGCUUGUGUAUAUAUUCGUGAUUAAUUGAUUGUGCGAAGGAAGGAACAUUGGCAUGAAUGAAGGUACGCACAUAUAUAUAUAAGUGUAUAUAUAUAUAUAUAUAUGUAUGUAUGUAUGAUAAUAAGUACGUAGGUGUGAAUGUAUGUGUGAAUGAAUGUUCAAUGCUUAAGACAUAUGCAUGAACGUAUCAAAGGGUUCGAGUAUUUAUGGAUACUAAUGAUGUGCGUUGAGUUGGAAUGUAAUGUAGGUAUGGGGUCGUUGGCUUCAUGAAGAAAUGGAGCUGGAUUUGGAUAAGAGUAUUUAAGAAAGCGCUUGGACAAUUCCACGACUACUUUAUAGAAUGCUCUACGAAAUUUUAUUAUAUAGUUUAAUGUUGAAUGGUAUGUUAAUAACUAAUGGUUUGGUUGUACGUGGUGUCCACAGGUAUCGCUUGGGUUUUCUCUACUUUUAUUGAAGUGAAGCGGACUUAGUUCGAGUUGAGAGCAAGGAUUGUACGGGGUAGAAUGGUCACAUAGUGUAACUCAUAUAGGUUUUGAAGUAUUAAUGUUAUAAAACGUUAUAAAUCCGUUUUAAUGAAUAUAUGGAAUUUCGCAUUUGAACUUUCAUGUGUUUGAUAUGUCUAUUAAAGAACGAAAUUUUUGGGCUCUUGUUUUCCGCUGCGUCGUAUUUUAAGUUAUUACGCGUUAGUCUUACAGGGAAUUGUUCUUAUUACGAACGGGUCAUGCCCGAAUUUUGUUAAAUAAUAGUAUGAUAAUAUUACAUUUU